UUGCUGACGACCGGCGCACGGGUGCGUAACGCGUAUACAAUCUGCCUUACACUAAGGGAUAGCCCAGAGAAAUUUGGAUUAACACCUUAUAGUUUAUUUUUAUGGCAUCAUUUAAAUAAUAAAGUUUACGGUGUAAGAUGAGUAUGCGUCCCAUUAGUUUGUUGGUAAGGUAACGGCUUACCAAGACUACGAUGGGUAGGGGCCCUGAGAGGGGGAUCCCCCACACUGGUACUGAGACACGGACCAGACUCCUACGGGAGGCAGCAGUGAGGAAUAUUGGACAAUGGAGGAGACUCUGAUCCAGCCAUGCCGCGUGCAGGAAGACGGUCCUAUGGAUUGUAAACUGCUUUUAUACAGGAAGAAUAAGGACUACGUGUAGUCUGGUGACGGUACUGUAAGAAUAAGGACCGGCUAACUCCGUGCCAGCAGCCGCGGUAAUACGGAGGGUCCGAGCGUUAUCCGGAAUUAUUGGGUUUAAAGGGUCCGUAGGCGGGCUGUUAAGUCAGGGGUGAAAGUUUGCAGCUCAACUGUAGAAUUGCCUUUGAUACUGAUGGUCUUGAAUUAUUGUGAAGUGGUUAGAAUAUGUAGUGUAGCGGUGAAAUGCAUAGAUAUUACAUAGAAUACCGAUUGCGAAGGCAGAUCACUAACAAUUGAUUGACGCUGAUGGACGAAAGCGUGGGUAGCGAACAGGAUUAGAUACCCUGGUAGUCCACGCCGUAAACGAUGGAUACUAGCUGUUUGGAUUUCGAUCUGAGCGGCCAAGCGAAAGUGAUAAGUAUCCCACCUGGGGAGUACGUUCGCAAGAAUGAAACUCAAAGGAAUUGACGGGGGCCCGCACAAGCGGUGGAGCAUGUGGUUUAAUUCGAUGAUACGCGAGGAACCUUACCAGGGCUUAAAUGUAGAUUGACAGGUUUAGAGAUAGACUUUCCUUCGGGCAAUUUACAAGGUGCUGCAUGGUUGUCGUCAGCUCGUGCCGUGAGGUGUCAGGUUAAGUCCUAUAACGAGCGCAACCCCUGUUGUUAGUUACCAGCACAUUAUGGUGGGGACUCUAGCAAGACUGCCGGUGCAAACCGUGAGGAAGGUGGGGAUGACGUCAAAUCAUCACGGCCCUUACGUCCUGGGCCACACACGUGCUACAAUGGUAGGUACAGAGAGCAGCCACUUAGCGAUAAGGAGCGAAUCUAUAAAACCUAUCACAGU
This 1200-nucleotide ribosomal RNA is filed under the name Cellulophaga lytica. RNAcentral's name for it is "bacterial SSU rRNA". It matches the Rfam family "Bacterial small subunit ribosomal RNA", at positions 85 to 1292 of the family's 1533-position model. Lineage: Bacteria; Pseudomonadati; Bacteroidota; Flavobacteriia; Flavobacteriales; Flavobacteriaceae. The record is from RNAcentral.